GAGAAACCACACUCGCCUCAGUCUGCGCCGAUGAAACGGCGGGCGCGAUUGGAGAGGAGGGCCGGGGGCAUCGUUCUGCUCUCCGUGGCUGGAAGAAGAAUUAUGUCCUGUGAGGAGACCGAAGGAAGGGGAGCAGCUGUUCUGCUGUACGCCGUGGGAGUUGGUCAGAACAUGUGAGGCCGUGCGUCUGCUUAGGCUCUAGAUGUCCGCUUCAGGAAACUCCUUCCCGAAAAAGAAGAGUAAAAUCAAUUCUAGCAUUGAGCUGCAUCGAGAAGUCUGUAAAAGAUUAAAAGGUCGCAGAACAUUAACCAAAUACAGCGGGAGCCUUAUCCCUUGAAAGAACGUGCCGUGCCUCUUGUUAGUGUGGGCUGAUUGGAGAGGGAAAUAAAAUCAAAGGAAAGGGCAUCUAAUGUCUACGAGGAAUCAAUGACAGGACAACUUUGUGCACAGAAGGUAAGGAAUGUAGCAAGCUGCCUUAAAAGCAGGUGAGAAAAUCUAGCCCAGUAUACCCUGCUCUGACUCACACAGCAAUGCUGCUGACUCCAAACCCUUCAUAUUGUGUGGUCAGUCAAUCCUUCUGUUAUGUACUGAGUUGAAUAGGACCCAAAAGGCAGCAGUCUGAUUGAUCCUUAAACAAUAGGAUCCAGAAUGCAGCA
This is a non-coding RNA of Podarcis muralis (Common wall lizard), 656 nucleotides long. Lineage: Eukaryota; Metazoa; Chordata; Lepidosauria; Squamata; Lacertidae. The record is from RefSeq and is a predicted model, not a curated record.